CCUACGGGUGACAGCAGUGGGGAAUAUUGCACAAUGGGGGAAACCCUGAUGCAGCGACGCCGCGUGAGUGAAGAAGUAUCUCGGUACGUAAAGCUCUAUCAGCAGGGAAGAAAAUGACGGUACCUGACUAAGAAGCCCCGGCUAACUACGUGCCAGCAGCCGCGGUAAUACGUAGGGGGCAAGCGUUAUCCGGAUUUACUGGGUGGAAAGGGAGCGUAGACGGCAGCACAAGUCUGGAGUGAAAUCCCGGGGCUUAACCCCGGAACUGCUUUGGAAACGGUGCGGCGGGAGUGCAGGAGGGGUAAGCGGAAUUCCUAGUGUAGCGGUGAAAUGUGUAGAUAUUAGGAGGAACACCGGUGGCGAAGGCGGCUUACUGGACUGUAACUGACGUUGAGGCUCGAAAGCGUGGGGAGCAAACAGGAUUAGAUACCCUGGUAGUC
RNAcentral lists this ribosomal RNA (440 nucleotides) under uncultured bacterium. RNAcentral's name for it is "partial 16S ribosomal RNA". It matches the Rfam family "Bacterial small subunit ribosomal RNA", at positions 338 to 795 of the family's 1533-position model. The record is from RNAcentral.